RNAcentral lists this ribosomal RNA (237 nucleotides) under uncultured Lactobacillus sp. Its description in RNAcentral is "partial 16S ribosomal RNA". It matches the Rfam family "Bacterial small subunit ribosomal RNA", at positions 125 to 354 of the family's 1533-position model. The record is from RNAcentral. Lineage: Bacteria; Bacillati; Bacillota; Bacilli; Lactobacillales; Lactobacillaceae.
CCUGCCCAAGAGAUCGGGAUAACACCUGGAAACAGAUGCUAAUACCGGAUAACAACAGAUGAUGCCUAUCAACUGUUUAAAAGAUGGUUCUGCUAUCACUCUUGGAUGGACCUGCGGUGCAUUAGCUAGUUGGUAGGGUAACGGCCUGCCAAGGCGAUGAUGCAUAGCCGAGUUGAGAGACUGAUCGGCCACAUUGGGACUGAGACACGGUCCAAACUCCUACGGGAGGCAGCAGGU